UUGACGGAAGGGCACCACCAGGAGUAAACGUUUAUGUCGCAGUUAACUCUGCUCCGAAAAGCCACUCGAAAGAGUGUGGUGUCCUUAGAGGCUAGUCAGUCCGCUGGCAACACAAUCAAAUUGCGGGAAACUCCUUAGAGCUCAAGCUACCGCUGCUGCCCAGAGAUGGGCUGUGGCACCAGGUUAACGACCUCGGGUAUGGUAACAACGCCUGAGAUUGGACAAUCCGCAGCCAAGCUCCCUCAUGGGAAGAAGGUUCAGAGACUAGAUGGUUGUGGGUUGAACACGUUUAUCUGAAGUAUUUGAACGGUUCGGCUUAAGAUAUAGUCCAAUCCAAUGUGGAAACGCACUGGUCUGAAAGAUAGAAAAUGGGAGCCUGCGCUUAAUUUGAC
Molecule: non-coding RNA, 392 nt
Filed under: Protomyces pachydermus
Lineage: Eukaryota; Fungi; Ascomycota; Taphrinomycetes; Taphrinales; Protomycetaceae
Description: group I intron
Rfam family: Group I catalytic intron (bases 54-352)
About the family: Group I catalytic introns are large self-splicing ribozymes. They catalyse their own excision from mRNA, tRNA and rRNA precursors in a wide range of organisms. The core secondary structure consists of 9 paired regions (P1-P9).
Source: RNAcentral